UGGGGAAUAUUGGACAAUGGGCGAAAGCCUGAUCCAGCCAUGCCGCGUGUGUGAAGAAGGUCUUCGGAUUGUAAAGCACUUUAAGUUGGGAGGAAGGGCAGUAAGCGAAUACCUUGCUGUUUUGACGUUACCGACAGAAUAAGCACCGGCUAACUCUGUGCCAGCAGCCGCGGUAAUACAGAGGGUGCGAGCGUUAAUCGGAUUUACUGGGCGUAAAGCGUGCGUAGGCGGCUAAUUGAGUCGGAUGUGAAAUCCCCGAGCUUAACUUGGGAAUUGCAUUCGAUACUGGUUAGCUAGAGUGUGGGAGAGGAUGGUAGAAUUCCAGGUGUAGCGGUGAAAUGCGUAGAGAUCCGGAGGAAUACCGAUGGCGAAGGCAGCCAUCUGGCCUAACACUGACGCUGAGGUACGAAAGCAUGGGGAGCAAACAGG
RNAcentral lists this ribosomal RNA (429 nucleotides) under Pseudomonadota bacterium. RNAcentral describes it as "Proteobacteria bacterium partial 16S ribosomal RNA". It matches the Rfam family "Bacterial small subunit ribosomal RNA", at positions 355 to 776 of the family's 1533-position model. The record is from RNAcentral. Lineage: Bacteria; Pseudomonadati; Pseudomonadota.